CGCGGCCUAUCAGCUUGUUGGUGGGGUAAUGGCCUACCAAGGCGACGACGGGUAGCCGGCCUGAGAGGGCGACCGGCCACACUGGGGCUGAGACACGGCCCAGACUCCUACGGGAGGCAGCAGUGGGGAAUAUUGCACAAUGGGCGAAAGCCUGAUGCAGCGACGCCGCGUGAGGGAUGACGGCCUUCGGGUUGUAAACCUCUUUCAGCAGGGACGAAGCGUAAGUGACGGUACCUGCAGAAGAAGCGCCGGCCAACUACGUGCCAGCAGCCGCGGUAAGACGUAGGGCGCGAGCGUUGUCCGGAUUUAUUGGGCGUAAAGAGCUCGUAGGCGGCUUGUCGCGUCGACUGUGAAAACCCGCAGCUCAACUGCGGGCCUGCAGUCGAUACGGGCAGGCUAGAGUUCGGUAGGGGAGACUGGAAUUCCUGGUGUAGCGGUGGAAUGCGCAGAUAUCAGGAGGAACACCGGUGGCGAAGGCGGGUCUCUGGGCCGAUACUGACGCUGAGGAGCGAAAGCGUGGGGAGCGAACAGGAUUAGAUACCCUGGUAGUCCACGCUGCAAACGUUGGGCGCUAGGUGUGGGGGACCUCUCCGGUUCUCUGUGCCGCAGCUAACGCAUUAAGCGCCCCGCCUGGGGAGUACGG
Molecule: ribosomal RNA, 643 nt
Filed under: uncultured bacterium
Lineage: Bacteria
Description: bacterial SSU rRNA
Rfam family: Bacterial small subunit ribosomal RNA
Source: RNAcentral